Molecule: ribosomal RNA, 375 nt
Filed under: uncultured organism
Description: partial 16S ribosomal RNA
Rfam family: Bacterial small subunit ribosomal RNA
Source: RNAcentral
GUAGGUGGCAAGCGUUGUCCGGAAUUAUUGGGCGUAAAGCGCGCGCAGGCGGUUCUUUAAGUCUGAUGUGAAAGCCCACGGCUCAACCGUGGAGGGUCAUUGGAAACUGGAGAACUUGAGUACAGAAGAGGAAAGCGGAAUUCCACGUGUAGCGGUGAAAUGCGUAGAGAUGUGGAGGAGCACCAGUGGCGAAGGCGGCUUUCUGGUCUGUAACUGACGCUGAGGCGCGAAAGCGUGGGGAGCAAACAGGAUUAGAUACCCUGGUAGUCCACGCCGUAAACGAUGAGUGCUAAGUGUUAGGGGGGUUUUCCGCCCCCCUUAGUGCUGCAGCUAACGCAUUAAGCACUCCGCCCUGGGAGUACGGCCGCAAGGCUG